AGCAUAUCAAUAAGCGGAGGAAAAGAAACCAACAGGGAUUGCCCUAGUAACGGCGAGUGAAGCGGCAACAGCUCAAAUUUGAAAUCUGGCCUCGGCCCGAGUUGUAAUUUGUAGAGGAAGCUUUAGGCGCGGCACCUUCUGAGUCUCCCUGGAACGGGGCGCCAUAGAGGGUGAGAGCCCCGUAUAGUCGGAUGCCUAGCCUGUGUAAAGCUCCUUCGACGAGUCGAGUAGUUUGGGAAUGCUGCUCAAAAUGGGAGGUAAAUUUCUUCUAAAGCUAAAUACCGGCCAGAGACCGAUAGCGCACAAGUAGAGUGAUCGAAAGAUGAAAAGCGCUUUGGAAAGAGGGUUAAAUAGCACGUGAAAUUGUUGAAAGGGAAGCGCUUGUGACCAGACUUGCGCCGGGCUGAUCAUCCGGUGUUCUCACCGGUGCACUCUGCCCGGCUCAGGCCAGCAUCGGUUCUCGCGGGGGGACAAAGGCCCUGGGAACGUAGCUCCUCCGGGAGUGUUAUAGCCCAGGGCGCAAUGCCCUCGCGGGGACCGAGGUUCGCGCUCUGCAAGGAUGCUGGCGUAAUGGUCAUCAGCGACCCGUCUUGAAACACGGACCA
Molecule: ribosomal RNA, 605 nt
Filed under: uncultured fungus
Lineage: Eukaryota; Fungi
Description: eukaryotic LSU rRNA
Rfam family: Eukaryotic large subunit ribosomal RNA
Source: RNAcentral